RNAcentral lists this transfer RNA (69 nucleotides) under Aponsila sp. FS-2019. Its description in RNAcentral is "tRNA-Trp". The record is from RNAcentral. Lineage: Eukaryota; Metazoa; Arthropoda; Insecta; Hemiptera; Plataspidae.
AAAGCUUUAAGUUAUUAAUAAACUAUUAACCUUCAAAGUUAAAAAUACAUUUAAAUUAUGUAAGCUUUA